GUUUCUGUAGGUGACCUACGGAAGGAUCAUUA
Molecule: ribosomal RNA, 32 nt
Filed under: Cyrtopodium punctatum
Lineage: Eukaryota; Viridiplantae; Streptophyta; Magnoliopsida; Asparagales; Orchidaceae
Description: partial 18S ribosomal RNA
Source: RNAcentral